AUUGAACGCUGGCGGCAGGCCUAACACAUGCAAGUCGAGCGGAUGAAGGGAGCUUGCUCCUGGAUUCAGCGGCGGACGGGUGAGUAAUGCCUAGGAAUCUGCCUGGUAGUGGGGGAUAACGUCCGGAAACGGGCGCUAAUACCGCAUACGUCCUGAGGGAGAAAGUGGGGGAUCUUCGGACCUCACGCUAUCAGAUGAGCCUAGGUCGGAUUAGCUAGUUGGUGGGGUAAAGGCCUACCAAGGCGACGAUCCGUAACUGGUCUGAGAGGAUGAUCAGUCACACUGGAACUGAGACACGGUCCAGACUCCGACGGGAGGCAGCAGUGGGGAAUAUUGGACAAUGGGCGAAAGCCUGAUCCAGCCAUGCCGCGUGUGUGAAGAAGGUCUUCGGAUUGUAAAGCACUUUAAGUUGGGAGGAAGGGCAAUAAGUUAAUACCUUGCUGUUUUGACGUUACCAACAGAAUAAGCACCGGCUAACUUCGU
RNAcentral lists this ribosomal RNA (483 nucleotides) under uncultured bacterium. RNAcentral's name for it is "partial 16S ribosomal RNA". It matches the Rfam family "Bacterial small subunit ribosomal RNA", at positions 30 to 506 of the family's 1533-position model. The record is from RNAcentral.